CCCUCUUUGGAAUCGUGGGCGAGCCGAGGCAGACGCAACCUCGCAUCGGCCCCAUUUUGGAAUCCGAGCCACAUCCCUUCCGCUCUCACCACAAACCCUAACAUGAAGAUGCCAAGCCGCAUAUUGCGGGACAAAGUGAACAUGGAGGUGAUCAAGCCGUGGAUUACGUUCAGCUGGGCAUGCUGCACUGUAUCUGUGUACCAUGUUGCGUCGUCCGAGAGAUGCAUCCUGAUGGUCGGAGCCAAAAUACCGUACAAUACCAGGUUUUUCGGAGGAGAUCAAACAUUUCAAGGCAGACUCUCUUGAAAACCGUUCAGGUUAGCAUUCUUUUCAGUAUUGCUAUUUAUUUUACUGUAUUCGUAAAGAGCUUUAAAUAAUCAGCUAGUUUUCUUU
Molecule: non-coding RNA, 393 nt
Organism: Musa acuminata subsp. malaccensis (wild Malaysian banana)
Lineage: Eukaryota; Viridiplantae; Streptophyta; Magnoliopsida; Zingiberales; Musaceae
Source: RefSeq, a predicted model, not a curated record